AUGCUUGAUUACUUAGGCUACAUGUUGAGGACCGAGAUAUUGGUUUGUGAAUUUAGGGCUUUUGGCUUGCUUUUAUGAAUGCUAUAGACAGCGAUACAUUGGUUGGGAAAAAAUAAAUUUUAUUUAAAUCUGUAAUGUACUAAAGUUGGAUAUAUAUUAACGGUAUGUUCUAUUUAGGAAGUACACCUUGAUGCUUGAAUUUUGAGAUAAAGAUAAACAAAUAAGCAUGGUGCAUGUGGAUGGUUUGUUAACACUGGCUGGUCAGGUGGAAGUUAUGGAUCAGGAAAGCGUAUAAAAUUGGGAUACACACGGAAAAUAAUUGAUGCCAUCCACUCUGGGAAGCUUUUGGAAGCAAACUACACAAAGACAGAGAUGUUUGGGCUUGAAAUCCUAACUGAAAUUGAAGGGGUUCCUUCUGAGAUCCGAGAUCCAGCUAAUACAGUAAGUUACUUAUAAAUAAAGACAUGUGUUGGUAUAUGGUAAGACCUGAGAAUUGUUUAUAAAUGAUUUACGUUUCAGUGGCCAGACAAGGCGGGGCACAGGAGACGCUGGUGAAGUUGGGAGGGUUGUUCAAGAACAACUUUGAGGGGUUCUUAAACUACAAGAUUGGAUCAGAUAACGUCACGGAGGAAAUAUUGUCUGUAUAGUUGUGUUAAUCCAGUGAGAAAAUAAUAUUGCAUACUAAACCAACCGAUUUCGGGGUUUUUUUUUCGGUUUCAGUCCUAAACCGGUUUUUUUGUUGGAAUUUCUACUUUUACUUUUGUUGUUGAAAUGCCCAAAUCGAAGCAAGUUGCCCAGUUUGAUAUCUAAAUGUUUCGGUUAAGGUACGGUGUUCCCGGAUUAAUGAUGUGGUUUGGUACUGGCCUUUUAAACUGAAUCGGUUGUUUAACUUCUAUUCUAUUUAUAUUUUUGGAA
Long non-coding RNA from Helianthus annuus (common sunflower), 915 nucleotides. RefSeq lists it as uncharacterized. Lineage: Eukaryota; Viridiplantae; Streptophyta; Magnoliopsida; Asterales; Asteraceae. The transcript is spliced from 2 exons. The record is from RefSeq and is a predicted model, not a curated record.